RNAcentral lists this ribosomal RNA (526 nucleotides) under uncultured bacterium. RNAcentral describes it as "bacterial SSU rRNA". It matches the Rfam family "Bacterial small subunit ribosomal RNA", at positions 772 to 1303 of the family's 1533-position model. The record is from RNAcentral.
ACCGAAUAGAUACCCGGGUAGUCCACGCCGUAAACUAUGAACGCUAGCCGUUGGCGAGCUUGCUCGUCAGUGGCGCAGCUAACGCAUUAAGCGUUCCGCCUGGGGAGUACGGCCGCAAGGUUGAAACUCAAAGAAAUUGACGGGGGCCCGCACAAGCGGUGGAGCAUGUGGUUUAAUUCGACGCAACGCGCAGAACCUUACCAGGGUUUGACAUCCCGAGACCGCUGCUGAAAGGCAGUUUCCCGCAAGGGCUCGGAGACAGGUGCUGCAUGGCUGUCGUCAGCUCGUGUCGUGAGAUGUUGGGUUAAGUCCCGCAACGAGCGCAACCCUCGCCUUUAGUUGCCAUCAUUAAGUUGGGCACUCUAGAGGGACCGCCGGCGACAAGCCGGAGGAAGGUGGGGAUGACGUCAAGUCCUCAUGGCCCUUACACCCUGGGCUACACACGUGCUACAAUGGCGGUGACAGUGAGCAGCUAACUCGCGAGAGUGUGCUAAUCUACCAAAAACCGUCCCAGUUCAGAUUGCAC